RNAcentral lists this long non-coding RNA (1030 nucleotides) under Homo sapiens (human). Its description in RNAcentral is "HSALNT0406978". Lineage: Eukaryota; Metazoa; Chordata; Mammalia; Primates; Hominidae. The record is from RNAcentral.
GCUGUGGAAUUUAGCCAAUUCAGAGGUCUUGUUCCCCGUAAUGUGGAACUUUCCUUCAGAUUUGAUCAAGUUGGAUAGAGUUGGUCAAACCCAAUUGUCAGGCCUCUGAGCUCAAGCUAAGCCAUCAUAUCCCCUGUGAUCUGCACGUACACAUCCAGAUGGCUGGUUCCUGCCUUAACUGAUGACAUUCCACCACAAAAGAAGUGAAAAUGGCCUGUUCGUGCCUUAACUGAUGACAUUGUCUUGUGAAAUUCCUUCUCCUGGCUCAUCCUGGCUCAAAAGCUCCCCCACUGAGUACCUUGUGACCCCCCACUCCUGCCCGCCAGAGAACAAUUCCCUUUGACUGUAAUUUUCCUUUAUCUACCCAAAUCCUAUAAAACGGCCCCACCCUUAUCUCCCUUCGCUGACUCUCUUUUUGGACUCAGCCCACCUGCACCCAGGUGAAAUAAACAGCCUUGUUGCUCACACAAAGCCUGUUUGGUGGUCUCUUCACAGGGACACGCAUGAAAUUUGGUGCCGUGACUUGGAUCGGGGGACCUCCCUUGGGAGAUCAAUCCCCUGUCCUCCUGCUCUCUGCUCUGUGAGAAAGAUGCACCUACGACCUCAGGUCCUCAGACCGACCAGCCCAAGAAACAUCUCACUAAUUUCAAAUCUGACAGGAAUGUCAGGCCUCUGAGCUCAAGCUAAGCCAUCAUAUCCCCUGUGACCUGCACGUACACAUCCAGAUGGCCGGUUCCUGCCUUAACUGAUGACAUUCCACCACGAAAGAAGUGAAAAUGACCUGUUCGUGCCUUAACUGAUGACAUUGUCUUGUGAAAUUCCUUCUCCUGGCUCAUCCUGGCUCAAAAGCUCCCCCACUGAGUACAUUGUGACCCCCACUCCUGCCCGCCAGAGAACAGCCCCCUUUGACUGUAAUUUUCCUUUAUCUACCCAAAUCCUAUAAAACAGCCCCACCUUUAUCUCCCUUGGCUGACUCUCUUUUCGGACUCAGCCCGCCUGCACCCAGGUGAAAUAAACAGCCUUGUUGCUA